RNAcentral lists this long non-coding RNA (221 nucleotides) under Lathyrus oleraceus (garden pea). RNAcentral's name for it is "Pisum sativum (pea) long non-coding RNA (PSAT_LNC001831)". Lineage: Eukaryota; Viridiplantae; Streptophyta; Magnoliopsida; Fabales; Fabaceae. The record is from RNAcentral.
UGGAAUUCUGAAAGGUUUGGCACUGUUGGGCCUACUCUACAUAGCGGUUGUGAUGUCUGAAUCUGCUGAAUGUUAUAGUCCAUGGUAUUUUGUGUUGUCCUUAUGUGUCACAGACGCCAUAAAAGUGAAGCUUGGGUAGCUUAGAUCAUUUGCAUGUUAUCUAUCAUAUUUGUCCUAAAAGCUUGCAUUUGACCCAUCUGCUCCAUCAUGGUUGAUUAUUG